This 279-nucleotide long non-coding RNA is filed under the name Salvia miltiorrhiza (redroot sage). RNAcentral describes it as "long non-coding RNA (SMIL_LNC011177)". Lineage: Eukaryota; Viridiplantae; Streptophyta; Magnoliopsida; Lamiales; Lamiaceae. The record is from RNAcentral.
AUGGAGGGUAUAAUUGUCCAAAAAGCAGAGUAGGAGUUUAUUUCGUGGACAAAUAUUUAAGGGCAAGUAGGAGUUUUUUUGGUGGACGGAGGGAGUAUUUUUUUAUUAUUUUUUAAUUAAUAUUCUAUUUUAUUAUUAUUUUUAAAUUACUGAGAAUAUUUUAAAAUUUAUUGUUAUUUUCAACAAUAAUAUAUAUUUUUUUAAUUAACGAUAAUAUUAAAUUUUUUUAUUAUUUUAAAUUCGAUUAUAUAUUUAUCGUCAUUCUUUCGUCGGCACCAC